This 507-nucleotide ribosomal RNA is filed under the name uncultured bacterium. RNAcentral describes it as "bacterial SSU rRNA". It matches the Rfam family "Bacterial small subunit ribosomal RNA", at positions 28 to 517 of the family's 1533-position model. The record is from RNAcentral.
GAUGAACGCUGGCGGCGUGCUUAACACAUGCAAGUCGAACGAACUGUUCUAGAGGAAGUUUUCGGAUGGAAUCUAGGAUAGUUAGUGGCGAACGGGUGAGUAAUGCAUCGGAACGUGCCCAGUCAUGGGGGAUAACUACGCGAAAGCGUAGCUAAUACCGCAUACGCCCUGAGGGGGAAAGGUGGGGGAGUCUUCGGACCUCGCGCGAUUGGAGCGGCCGAUGUCGGAUUAGCUAGUUGGUGGGGUAAAAGCCCACCAAGGCGACGAUCCGUAGCGGGUCUGAGAGGAUGAUCCGCCACACUGGGACUGAGACACGGCCCAGACUCCUACGGGAGGCAGCAGUGGGGAAUAUUGGUCAAUGGACGCAAGUCUGAACCAGCCACGUCGCGUGAAGGAAGACGGCCCUACGGGUUGUAAACUUCUUUUAUACGGGAAUAAAGUGCCCCACGCGUGGGGUUUUGCAUGUACCGUAUGAAUAAGGAUCGGCUAACUCCGUGCCAGCAGCCG